This 1318-nucleotide ribosomal RNA is filed under the name Triticum aestivum (bread wheat). RNAcentral's name for it is "partial small subunit ribosomal RNA". The record is from RNAcentral. Lineage: Eukaryota; Viridiplantae; Streptophyta; Magnoliopsida; Poales; Poaceae.
GACAAGAGUGCACUGCAUUUUCUUUUGUAGUCUCUUACUGCACAUGGCAAGCGAGUGAAAUGUGUCAAAAAUAAUGCAUCCAGACACAAAAAAAACUACACACCCAAACUGCUUUCCCUCUAGGACACAAAUCUGUACAAUUCGCUAUUGAACACAUCAAAUUCACAAGUGGUCUUCUAAACAAGAAUAUUUCCUUUCUUGUUUUUUGCCUCCAUAGUGGAUCAAAGAAGGAGUGCAGAAGGCAGUAGCACCUAUCUGAAAACUGCACUAGAGAUACAUCAGCAAUGAACUUCACCAGAGCACAUCUUUUGUAGGAAAAAAAUCAAACCGCACACUCAGCACCAACUGAGUUGAUUAUGGGGGCUUUUUUGCAAGCUGCACCCGCGCACACACACGUCGGUGUGGCCGUCAGAAUGCAAGAAACUGAACCUCAUCUUUUGGAGUAACACUGAUGUGAGCUGCGAGAAAACUGGAUUAAGCACUGCAAUUUUCAACACAAAAAAGAACUAAUAAAGAUCUGCACCCCAACAUUGCUCACUCGGGGAGGUUCAGCAGCAACAGCACAAGCGAACUGCUCACCAACGACACCGGUGGCGAUGCAGUUCAUCGAGGGGAGGUAGAUGGUCACGGCUGAAGCCGUGGGACUGACGCCGACAGAAGGUUGGUGGAAGAGGGGGUUCAGAGAGGGGGGACCAACUGAACUGCAGCACUCUUUCUAGGUGGAGGAAGUGCACUCGUCGGGGUCGAGGAAGAGCGCAACAACAAAAGAAAUCACGAAUCCUUGGCGGUUGAGCUCCGAGACGGCAUGGGACAUGCCGCUGGCUCACAGAUCCGGCAUCUCUGCAGGAGGUAGGGGAACGGAGAAGGCUGGGCCGCGAAGGUGCGGGCCCAAGCGGGACGACGGUGCGGGUCUCCUCCCCGCCUUGAACCACCACCACCCGUCCUCGCCCCCCGAGGCCACCAUCGCAUCCCUCCCCGGCACUGGACCCCGUGGAUGGACGGCGCGGCGGCGGCCUGUGGAGGGGACUAGGGGCACUGGCGGCCAGGGGAGCAGCGAAGUCCGGCGGCCUUGGAGGGGCGGCUAUAGGUGCGGCAGAGGCCAGAUCUGACGGGGCGCCAUGGCUGCUCUCGGGGACCCGAGGGUGGAGGCUGUGGGGCGGCGGCCGAUGUCGAUCCAGUGGCCGGCACGGUGGGGCGGGAGGUGAGGGCGGCGGUUGGAGGCCGGGGUAGGCGUGGGAGAGGGAGGCAGAGGAGGAUCCCCCCGAUCCGGUGUUGGUUGGGCCUGGCGUGGCCGGAGGUAGGUGGAUGGGCGGGGAGG